Molecule: ribosomal RNA, 648 nt
Filed under: Sphingomonas sp. HPC838
Lineage: Bacteria; Pseudomonadati; Pseudomonadota; Alphaproteobacteria; Sphingomonadales; Sphingomonadaceae
Description: bacterial SSU rRNA
Rfam family: Bacterial small subunit ribosomal RNA
Source: RNAcentral
GGAAAGUCGUACAGGGUACCCGUAUCGUUUCACCUCGUCCCAGGGUUUCCGUAAUGGUGCCGCACGGGUGCGUAACGCGUGGGAAUCUGCCCUUGGGUUCGGAAUAACAGUUAGAAAUGACUGCUAAUACCGGAUGAUGACGUAAGUCCAAAGAUUUAUCGCCCAAGGAUGAGCCCGCGUAGGAUUAGCUAGUUGGUGAGGUAAAGGCUCACCAAGGCGACGAUCCUUAGCUGGUCUGAGAGGAUGAUCAGCCACACUGGGACUGAGACACGGCCCAGACUCCUACGGGAGGCAGCAGUGGGGAAUAUUGGACAAUGGGCGAAAGCCUGAUCCAGCAAUGCCGCGUGAGUGAUGAAGGCCUUAGGGUUGUAAAGCUCUUUUACCCGGGAUGAUAAUGACAGUACCGGGAGAAUAAGCUCCGGCUAACUCCGUGCCCCAGCCGCGGUAAUACGGAGGGAGCUAGCGUUGUUCGGAAUUACUGGGCUAAACCACGUAGGCGGCUUUGUAAUUUAAGGUGAAAGCCUGGACUUAACUCCAAACUGCCUUUAACACUGCAUCCUUGAUCCGGAAGGGUGAGUGGAAUUCCAGUGUAGAGGUGAAAUUCUAGAUACUCCCAAGAACACCGGGGAAAAGGCGCUUCUGGGCUGC